This 207-nucleotide ribosomal RNA is filed under the name uncultured bacterium. RNAcentral describes it as "partial 16S ribosomal RNA". It matches the Rfam family "Bacterial small subunit ribosomal RNA", at positions 568 to 774 of the family's 1533-position model. The record is from RNAcentral.
CACGUAGGCAGAUGUGUCAGUCAGGGGUGAAAUCCCGGAGCUCAACUUCGGAACUGCCUUUGAUACAGCACGUCUUGAGUCCGAUAGAGGUGGGUGGAAUUCCUAGUGUAGAGGUGAAAUUCGUAGAUAUUAGGAAGAACACCGGUGGCGAAGGCGGCCCACUGGAUCGGUACUGACGCUGAGGUGCGAAAGCGUGGGGAGCAAACA